GCACAGAGAGAGGGCAGCAGACUCUUAGAGCACUUGUUGAGAGGAGUGGGAGCAGAGAGGCUGGCUUCGUCUCCCUCCUUUGCCC
Molecule: non-coding RNA, 85 nt
Organism: Ceratotherium simum simum (southern white rhinoceros)
Lineage: Eukaryota; Metazoa; Chordata; Mammalia; Perissodactyla; Rhinocerotidae
Source: RefSeq, a predicted model, not a curated record